GACGAACGCUGGCGGCGUGCUUAACACAUGCAAGUCGAACGGAAAGGCCCCUUUGGGGUUACUCGGUGGGGAAAGGGGGGGGUAACAGUGGAUUAACCUGCCCUGAACUUGGGGAAACCUUAGGGAACCUGGGGCUAAUACGGAAUGGGAAUCUUUGCGGCAGGGGGGGGGUGGGAAAGCUCGGCGGGUUUGGGUGGAAUCGCGGCUUAUCAGCUUGUUGGUGGGGUAGUGGCUUACCAAGGCUUUGACGGGUAGCCGGCCUGAGAGGGCGACCGGCCACAUUGGGACUGAGAUACGGCCCAGACUCCUACGGGAGGCAGCAGUGGGGAAUAUUGCACAAUGGGCGGAAGCCUGAUGCAGCAACGCCGCGUGCGGGAUGACGGCCUUCGGGUUGUAAACCGCUUUCAGCAGGGGCGAAGCUUGUGGUGACGGUACCUGCAGAAGAAGCACCGGCUAACUACGUG
RNAcentral lists this ribosomal RNA (464 nucleotides) under uncultured bacterium. RNAcentral describes it as "partial 16S ribosomal RNA". It matches the Rfam family "Bacterial small subunit ribosomal RNA", at positions 28 to 507 of the family's 1533-position model. The record is from RNAcentral.